This 254-nucleotide ribosomal RNA is filed under the name uncultured bacterium. RNAcentral describes it as "partial 16S ribosomal RNA". It matches the Rfam family "Bacterial small subunit ribosomal RNA", at positions 793 to 1055 of the family's 1533-position model. The record is from RNAcentral.
GUCCACGCCGUAAACGAUGGAUACUAGCUGUUGGGCGCAAGUUCAGUGGCUAAGCGAAAGUGAUAAGUAUCCCACCUGGGGAGUACGUUCGCAAGAAUGAAACUCAAAGGAAUUGACGGGGCCCGCACAAGCGGUGGAGCAUGUGGUUUAAUUCGAUGAUACGCGAGGAACCUUACCAAGGCUUAAAUGUAGAUUGACCGGUUUGGAAACAGAUCUUUCGCAAGACAAUUUACAAGGUGCUGCAUGGUUGUCGU